Long non-coding RNA from Rhopalosiphum padi (bird cherry-oat aphid), 1384 nucleotides. RefSeq lists it as uncharacterized. The transcript has 4 exons. Lineage: Eukaryota; Metazoa; Arthropoda; Insecta; Hemiptera; Aphididae. The record is from RefSeq and is a predicted model, not a curated record.
AAAUCGAAACAUAAUAUUUCGAGCUAACCAGACGGCUAGGCGACGUGUAUUAUAGCGGGAUGGAAGGAUUUUACGAACAACACUAUUUUACAUUAUUAUUAGACAUUAUGAUAUUAUUAUUAGGGUUUUUCCAUUACGUUAUUGACGACUCGUUGGUGACUAUUACGACUAAAUAUAAUAUAUAAAUAUAUAAUGGUUCAGCGGAGUCGCCCGACCGGUCGCUGACCGUAGACGCUCGAAUUCAACACUCGUUCCAGUGUUCCAGACUUUCAGUGUUUCACAUUUUUGUAUGAUCAUCACCAAUCACGUUAAUUAUAAUAUUUUUUGCGUAGAGCACACUCAGUACUCAGUAGUCCAGACAGUCCAAUAGUGUGUUCAAUCUUCAGACACCAGUGUUGUACCUACUGUUGUGUUAAAUAGUGCACUUAAAUAUAAUGAUAUUAUGAUGUCUACGAAGCAAAUACCGAAGUAACGUAAAGUAAGUUGAAAUAAUAAAAAAAGAAAGACCGCCAAAGAAGUUCAUAAUCUGAUUAUAGUAAUUUUGAAAGUAUACCUACUAUUUUUAUAUCUAAAAAAUUAGGUAGGUAUUCAUUUAUUUUAAUUAGAUUAGAUUGUAGUUAAUCAGGUAACACUCAUCUCCAAAAAAUUUAAAAAAAUAUGUCCCAAUAACAUUUAUUGAAUUGCUGGUGAAGAGUUCGGAUGAUGAAUUGGAUUAUAAACUAGCAUCUGUUACACCACCAGUACAAAUUGCAGCUAGUUCCUCAGUAUCAUCAUUCAUACUUAAUGAAGACAUACACAAGUAUAAUAUGAAAUAUCAUUAUAUCAAUUGGAACAUUUCUAUUUGAUGAGUGAUGACUUGUAUGACUUGGAAGAAUUGUCUUUACACAACAACGGAUUAGUAUUAAUAGAAUGCUACAAUGUAUUGGUGCAUUAUACAAUGAACCGUAAUGCAUAAAAGGUCAUAAAAUGAAAUUAACACGCGAAGAAGCAUCCCUUGACAAGUUAAAUGCAGAGAAAAACAAAAUAAAAAAAAAUUAUAAGUUUAGAGCUAAAUUUGAUCUGCCGACUGCUGAGCGUACAUUUGUUAUAUUACGUACUUGUAAGAUGGAGACAACACUUUUAAGAACUGAUGAGUCCUUCAGAAGUAAAAAAGAUGAGGAUUACCAUAAAGACUCCAACAAUUUGCCUUUGAUUUCAUCAAUGUGUCAUUCAGAGUCUUAAGCUAGUACUUACCAUUAUUUUUAUCUUAAACUUUUAAUUUUCAUUAUAUAAUUUCAACUUUUUGUAUUAAUUGUAUUUAUUUAUAUGUAUUUGACUAAUUCAUUUAUUGUGUUCUCUUUAUUUUAUAAUGACCUAAUGUAUUAUACUAUUUAGGUACCUAUAC